Molecule: long non-coding RNA, 129 nt
Organism: Etheostoma cragini (Arkansas darter)
Lineage: Eukaryota; Metazoa; Chordata; Actinopteri; Perciformes; Percidae
Exons: 2
Source: RefSeq, a predicted model, not a curated record
UGUGCGGCGGGAGAGGUGAAGGUGGAAUGGAGAACAGGUGUGUGUAGUCAGCUGGUAGCAGUAGGCAGGAGGGGAAGGGGGAAAACACAGGAGACACAGAGAGAGGCAGGGCCAACAAAGAAACUGCAC